GGGUCCGUAGCUCAGCGGUAGAGCGGGCGACUCAUAAUCGCUUGGUCGUUGGUCCGACUCCAACCGGACCCA
RNAcentral lists this transfer RNA (72 nucleotides) under Candidatus Moranbacteria bacterium RIFCSPLOWO2_12_FULL_48_12. RNAcentral's name for it is "tRNA-Met". It matches the Rfam family "tRNA". From Rfam's summary of the family: Transfer RNA (tRNA) molecules are approximately 80 nucleotides in length. Their secondary structure includes four short double-helical elements and three loops (D, anti-codon, and T loops). Lineage: Bacteria; Candidatus Moraniibacteriota. The record is from RNAcentral. RNAcentral also lists the same sequence under 1 other name.